This 73-nucleotide transfer RNA is filed under the name Candidatus Moranbacteria bacterium RIFOXYA12_FULL_35_19. RNAcentral describes it as "tRNA-Val". It matches the Rfam family "tRNA". Rfam says of the family: Transfer RNA (tRNA) molecules are approximately 80 nucleotides in length. Lineage: Bacteria; Candidatus Moraniibacteriota. RNAcentral also lists the same sequence under 2 other names. The record is from RNAcentral.
GGAUCCUUAGCUCAGUUGGUAGAGCGCUUCGCUUACAUCGAAGAUGUCGCAGGUUCGAGCCCUGCAGGAUCCA